UAAGUAAAAUUUUUUUUAAUUUAAUAUAAUUUUUAAAUGAAAGUAAAUAAAAGUAAUUGCUCGAAAAGAAGGGCCAUGAAACUGAUUAAUUAACUAAGGUAAUGCUUGACAAUGGUGUUUACCAUGUCAAGCAAAAGCCGAAUAGUAAAUGGUUAUCUCAUGCCACUUCAUUGUCAAGGUAAUAAAAAAAUUGCACCUCUCUAUAAGAGCAAGUAGGGGCAUUAUGGGAAAUUCACUCCAUCCAAUAAAUAAAAGUCCCAUCCCACCGUCUCCCCUUCAAGUGAGUACCCAAGCAGCAACUGCAACAUCACAGCACAGCAACCAUUCAACUCCCUCUAGCUCCUUUUCUCUCUCUACCACCCAAGAGGGGAGAAGAAACCGAGAGGAGAAAAUUAAAAGAAUCUCCACCCUCCAAGAAGUCCAUCUCCGAUCCCCCUAUCUUUC
Molecule: long non-coding RNA, 444 nt
Filed under: Phoenix dactylifera (date palm)
Lineage: Eukaryota; Viridiplantae; Streptophyta; Magnoliopsida; Arecales; Arecaceae
Description: long non-coding RNA (PDAC_LNC019277)
Source: RNAcentral